ACACGUAGGGGCCUGACGUUGUUCGGAAUCAUUGGGCGUAAAGGGCGCGCAGGUGGCCGUCCAAGUCCGGUGUUAAAUGGUCGGGCUCAACCCGAUCAUGCGCUGGAAACUGGGCGGCUUGAGUCCCGUAGGGGAUGCCGGAAUUCCAGGUGUAGGGGUGAAAUCUGUAGAUAUCUGGAAGAACACCGAUGGCGAAGGCAGGCAUCUGGCCGGAGACUGACGCUGAGGCGCGAAGGCGCGGGGAGCGAACAGGUUUAGAUACCCUGGUAGUCCGCGCAGUAAACGAUGCGCACCAGGUGUCGGGCGGCAGCGCCCGGUACCGGAGCUAACGCGAUGAGUGCGCCGCCUGGGGAGUAUGCCCGCAAGAUUGAAACUCAAAUGAAUUGGCGGGG
Molecule: ribosomal RNA, 392 nt
Filed under: uncultured bacterium
Lineage: Bacteria
Description: partial 16S ribosomal RNA
Rfam family: Bacterial small subunit ribosomal RNA
Source: RNAcentral